Rhododendron vialii is the source of this 425-nucleotide long non-coding RNA. RefSeq lists it as uncharacterized. The record is from RefSeq and is a predicted model, not a curated record. Lineage: Eukaryota; Viridiplantae; Streptophyta; Magnoliopsida; Ericales; Ericaceae. The transcript is spliced from 3 exons.
AGUCUGUUUACUUUUUAUUGGUUCUUCAACUUAUACUGUAUAUGCACUUAUCUAUCUUUGUUCUUACUAAUGAAUUCAGGUGGCCGUUUUAAAGAACCGUGUUAACAUUGCUUGUGGUACACCAAGCAGGAUUAAGAAGUUGAUUGAUGUGGAGGCACUUGGACCAUCACGAUUAGCCGUGAUUGUGCUCGACAUGCACACAGACGUUGAGGGUUAUUCCUUGUUCACCCUUCCCCUAGUCAGAGAUGAAUUCUGGGACUUGUAUAAGUGCUACUUCCAUCCACGGCUGCUUCAAGGUGAUCUUGGUAUCUGUCUUUAUGGCCCUGUACCAAUUAGCACUUAGGCAAAGAAAAAGGUUUGCGAUGACAGUUUCUUCGGGUAUGAUGUUCGAGAGCUGACCAUCAUGUGUAGCGUAUUCAUUUUUU